GAUGAACGCUGGCGGCGUGCCUAAUACAUGCAAGUCGAGCGAACGGACGAGAAGCUUGCUUCUCUGAUGUUAGCGGCGGACGGGUGAGUAACACGUGGAUAACCUACCUAUAAGACUGGGAUAACUUCGGGAAACCGGAGCUCAUACCGGAUAAUAUUUUGAACCGCAUGGUUCAAAAGUGAAAGACGGUCUUGCUGUCACUUAUAGAUGGAUCCGCGCUGCAUUAGCUAGUUGGUAAGGUAACGGCUUACCAAGGCAACGAUGCAUAGCCGACCUGAGAGGGUGAUCGGCCACACUAGAACGGAGACACGGUCCAGACUCCUACGGGAGGCAGCAGUAGGGAAUCUUCCGCAAUGGGCGAAAGCCUGACGGAGCAACGCCGCGUGAGUGAUGAAGGUCUUCGGAUCGUAAAACUCUGUUAUUAGGGAAGAACAUAUGUGUAAGUAACUGUGCACAUCUUGACGGUACCUAAGCAGAAAGCCACGGCUAACUACGUG
This 497-nucleotide ribosomal RNA is filed under the name uncultured bacterium. Its description in RNAcentral is "partial 16S ribosomal RNA". It matches the Rfam family "Bacterial small subunit ribosomal RNA", at positions 28 to 507 of the family's 1533-position model. The record is from RNAcentral.